UAUUGAUCCGCUUACCGAGGAACUGUUGAGAAGCUUCCGAAGAGUCCCAAGGUUUCCUAGAAGAACACAGUGAGACAACAUACCAGCUGCAGGGGGAAAGCGUGGGCUGCUGCCUGGAUAAAGAGGAUAUCAUCUGGAUUCCACAAAUACAUGUGGCUUCAAAUCCAUGUUCUUUUCGGCGCCAGAAGUGGCAAGAAAUAGCAGAAACUGGACAAUGCAUUUGAACGAACCCUAAAAGAGAAAAGUGAAGAGAAAGGGACAUGGAGGGAGCCUAACAGGAGAAAAAGUGAGCCGGAGAUAAAAGUCAACAUAAAGAGAAGGAUUAAUGGACUGUGUGACUCAUAGGUUAUCAAGCUAUACCAUAAUCAGAAGA
Molecule: long non-coding RNA, 373 nt
Organism: Rhineura floridana
Lineage: Eukaryota; Metazoa; Chordata; Lepidosauria; Squamata; Rhineuridae
Exons: 3
Source: RefSeq, a predicted model, not a curated record